AUGCGCACCUCCGUCUCGGGCUCCCUGCCGGCGUCGCUCUCCCGCACAAACCUCACCUCCGUCAGCUUCUUCAGCAACAAGCUGACCGGAAGGAUCCCCAGGUCGCUCCAGGACCUGCCUUACCUGACCUACUUCGACGCCUCGAACAACCGCCUCGUCGGCCGGAUCCCGCCGGGGCUGGUGAGCAACGGCGCGCCCGACAGGCUCCUGGGCCUGACGCUGACGAACAACCGGCUAACGGGGCCGAUCCCCCGGAUGUACGGGCGCGAGAGGUACUUCAUGAACUUCCGGGUGGCCAACAACAGGCUAACGGGGGACGCGGCGUUCCUGUUCGGCCGGCGGAACACGGUGUACGACGUCGACCUGUCCGGGAACAGGCUGCGGUUCAACCUGACCGGCGUGGAGAUGCCAGAGAACCUGCUGUUCCUCAACAUGAGCCGCAACCGGAUCUACGGCGGCGUGCCGGCGUCGCUGACGCAGUUGAAGAAGUUGACCACGCUCGACCUCAGCUACAACCAGCUCUGCGGGGAGAUACCGACCGGCGGGAACAUGGGUCGGUUCAAGCCGGAGGCCUACGAGCACAACAAGUGCCUGUGCGGGACCCCGUUGCCGGCGUGCUAG
RNAcentral lists this ribosomal RNA (621 nucleotides) under Triticum aestivum (bread wheat). Its description in RNAcentral is "partial small subunit ribosomal RNA". The record is from RNAcentral. Lineage: Eukaryota; Viridiplantae; Streptophyta; Magnoliopsida; Poales; Poaceae.